Molecule: long non-coding RNA, 203 nt
Organism: Sander lucioperca (pikeperch)
Lineage: Eukaryota; Metazoa; Chordata; Actinopteri; Perciformes; Percidae
Exons: 3
Source: RefSeq, a predicted model, not a curated record
GGGGCAUUUUCAGGCUUUAUUUUUGACAGGACAGAUGAAGACAUGAAAGGGGAGAGAGAAGGGGAAAGACAUGCAGCAAAGGGAGUCGAACUGGGGCCCGCUGCAUCGAGAAGUAAACCUCUAUAUAUGGGCGCCCGCUCUACCAACUGAGCUAUCCGGGCGCCUAGUUUGAAAUGAUUUUAUUUUUUUUAAAUGAUGUACCU